AUGCUCUUAGUAGGUCAGACUUACGGAUCUACAUGCUCCCUGCAGCUGCAUCGUCUUCUCCGCAUGGCGGCGCCUUCUUCAACUGAACUCCGCAUCGCCUCUUCGAUUCGCCCUACGCAGAUGAACUCCACCGACCAGGUCGCCAUGGUCGCCGACCAGCUCCUUGAUCAGAACACAAUGGCCGCCGAUGAGCUCCGUGAUCAGAUCACGCUGGCGCCCGAGAAACUCCCUGUUCCUAACCCAGCGCCUUCCGCCUGCUCCACCAACAACUGUCUGCGGGGGCUUGCACAGGAAGAUGACUAUGUAAUACUGAUUCCUCUUUCCCACAUCUUUGCCCUCAUGCUGCGAGCUCUCAAGUUGCCCCCUGCGACUUACCAACACAAGCCAUAUCCGGGCAAUGAGUCUUGUGUGAUGGUUACUUUCAAUUCGUCGUUCCAAUUGAUCGAUGGUUUACUUGUUCCAACCUCAAUAUCUGGUGUGAUCUCAAAAAACUGUGAUGAAGCAGACGACAGUGCUGUUAUGGCAGCCAUUAAGUUUAUGGAGGAUGUAUGUGGCAAGGAAGUCAGGGAUUAUCACUACAUCCAUGUUAAAAGGCUGGAAAGUAAGGUGACACACCUAAUAAGGUUGCUGGUUGCAGCAAACAAAACAAUAAAGAAGGCACGCAGAGGAUGGUACUAUGCUGCCAGAUAUAUUCCAACCAGAUACAGAAUACGACCGUUACUCGGUACCUAA
RNAcentral lists this ribosomal RNA (732 nucleotides) under Triticum aestivum (bread wheat). Its description in RNAcentral is "partial small subunit ribosomal RNA". Lineage: Eukaryota; Viridiplantae; Streptophyta; Magnoliopsida; Poales; Poaceae. The record is from RNAcentral.